Molecule: ribosomal RNA, 375 nt
Filed under: uncultured bacterium
Lineage: Bacteria
Description: bacterial SSU rRNA
Rfam family: Bacterial small subunit ribosomal RNA
Source: RNAcentral
AUUGAACGCUGGCGGCAUGCUUUACACAUGCAAGUCGAACGGCAGCGCGGGGGCAACCCUGGCGGCGAGUGGCGAACGGGUGAGUAAUGCAUCGGAACGUAUCCUGUAAUGGGGGGAUAACGUAGCGAAAGUUACGCUAAUACCGCAUACGCUCGAGAGAGGAAAGUGGGGGAUCGCAAGACCUCACGUUAUAGGAGCGGCCGAUGUCCGAUUAGCUAGUUGGUGGGGUAAAGCCUACCAAGGCGACGAUCGGUAGCUGGUCUGAGAGGAUGAUCAGCCACACUGGGACUGAGACACGGCCCAGACUCCUACGGGAGGCAGCAGUGGGGAAUUUUGGGACAAUGGGCGAAAGCCUGAUCCAGCCAUGCCGCGUGC